Molecule: ribosomal RNA, 460 nt
Filed under: uncultured bacterium
Lineage: Bacteria
Description: partial 16S ribosomal RNA
Rfam family: Bacterial small subunit ribosomal RNA
Source: RNAcentral
CCUACGGGAGGCAGCAGUGGGGGAUAUUGCACAAUGGGGGAAACCCUGAUGCAGCGACGCCGCGUGUGGGAAGACGGUCCUAUGGAUUGUAAACCUCUUUUGUCGGGGAGCAACGAGGCCACGUGUGGCCGAAGUGAGUGUACCCGAAGAAAAAGCAUCGGCUAACUCCGUGCCAGCAGCCGCGGUAAUACGGAGGAUGCGAGCGUUAUCCGGAUUUAUUGGGUUUAAAGGGUGCGUAGGGGGAACAUUAAGUCAGUUGUGAAAGUUUGCGGCUCAACCGUAAAAUUGCAGUUGAAACUGGCAGUCUUGAGUACAGUAGAGGUGGGCGGAAUUCGUGGUGUAGCGGUGAAAUGCUUAGAUAUCACGAAGAACUCCGAUUGCGAAGGCAGCUCACUGGACUGCAACUGACACUGAGGCUCGAAAGUGUGGGUAUCAAACAGGAUUAGAUACCCGGGUAGUC